CUGCCUUUUCCAGCAUGAGAUUAUUCACUCGACGAUGUCACGACUCCCAAGUCUGAUGUCAUGGUUGUUUCCACAGCAACCAAAUUGAAUCAAGGAAUUAAAAACCAGGAGGAACUCACACAGAAUGGCAACACAACACAGGAGUGCCAUGAAGCAAGCCAUACCCUGCACAUGAUCCAAGAUCUCAACACGCCCAGCUGGUACAGUGCUAGCAUAGCUCAGCGAGGAAUAGCACAGCAUUGGAAACUCAGCACCUUGGCAUUGCACUGCUUUCUGAAUCCUGAUUAAAGGACACAAAAACGUGGUGGCACUGCAGGACUACUCCCGCUGGGGAUUAGGGUAGGGUUGCAGGGAGUGUCUCCUCCCACUGCAGCCCCUGUUUCCAUGCAGCCUCAGGGCACCUGGUGCAACCUCUGCCCACCUACAGGUGCCCAGCAGAGCUGCAGCUCCCCUUGGCCUGUGCAAUAUUCAGUGCUCAGAGACUGUGCUGCUCCUUGCUGGAGGAAGCCUGUAUUGCUAAUGGGAGAGGACAGAAGGAUGCAAGAUGAGCUGCUGUGCCAAGACUGCAUCAUUCUUUUCAGCCUCAGAGGUUUCCCCUAGACCCUCCUGCACUCAUCUUCCUCACCUGCAGGAGAUGCAUGCCUUGCCUUUCACUUGCCACAUGCAUCCUGCUCACUGUGCUUCAGUUUCUGAUGAUGCUGAAUACUCUCUUGCCCAACCCAAAGCCCCAAACCACCCCACUGUCCCACCCCUGUGUGAUACACCCUUUUCAGCACCCCACUGCAAAUGCUGGAGCAAAAAGUCCUGCUCCCCUAGCCAGACUGGGGCGAUCCAUGGCACACAGAGCAGGCAGCCCUCCUCAUAUGAAGGCUGCUUGAAGGAGAGUAUUUUUGCUGUGUCAGCAUCUCUGCUUCUCUAUCCCCUGUGUUUGCUGAUUGCAUCCUUGAAGCGUCACUGUCACGUUAGGUUUUCAGCAUGGAGCUGAGCCCUGAGCUCGGAGGGACAUGGAAAUCUGGGGAGGUCUUCUUCAGCAGAGUGCGAGAGGGGACAAAAAAAAAAGAGAAAGAGAAGGAACAACAUCUGCCUCCUCCUCCUGCCUUCUCCUUCCAUUCAACAGCAAGGCUCUUGCUCGAUUGGUAUGUGAUUGCUGAUGCUGUGAGAAGUGCUUGGGAGCCACCAGGUCAGGAUAAAGAGUCAGCACUGCCUACUCUGGGGCAAGGUGGAGGAACUUGGCAGAACCCCAGGACCUGGCAGCACACUCCUGGCAGUGCAGGAACCGAUGCUCGCACCAAGGAUGUGCCAUUCUCCAAAUCACUGCUGCUCACAGAGCUGCUGAAGAUAAACUUGACCUGUGUUACUGUGUCCAUCCUUUGGGUAUGCUGGAGAAAUCACUCCAGCUCUGUUCAACACCUGGGGCUGCACGUGGACUUCUAAUUAGAGUAAAUCUUCAUUUCUUGGAAACAUGAACUAAUGGAGAGUCACAUUUUUGUGUAAGAAAACAUGCCGUGUUUUUCUUCUGCAGAUGCAGCUGAAAAAAAAAAAUACCUCAGCAUAGCCUGAAGAUGUAAAAGAGAGGAGACACAUAAACAAGAAUUCAAAAUGUAUUAUAAAAACCUCAUGCAUUUUUUCAGCUACUCUCAUGCUGUUUGAACACGUAAAGCUGGGCACACUCUGGCUGCAGUCGAAGUAUCUCCUACGAUAGCUCUGCUGGAGCUGAGACGAGCUACAUCAGCAGACAAUUGGGCCCAUAAUUUUUCUUCACGAUUGGCAAUUUAAAAAAUAAUCUCUGAAGGCAGUGAGUGUUUGAGCACUGUUAGCUCAGCUCAUGCUGCCGCUCUCCCAUAGUGCUCCAUCCUGACCCAGGCCGUGUGCUGCCUGCAGCCCCAACAAUAUCAUGGCCUGGAGCUGGGGGGCUCAUCAGAGCACCCUGACCGUGCUACCUCUCAGCCCUGUCCUCUCACUUUCCCAAAUUGCCAUAAAACAUAAAGGCCAUCCGACGUUGCUUCUAUUUCAACAGCAAUGCCACAUCCUCCCUUCUGCUGGAGGGUAACUGAGGCACAGAGGGGAUGUCUUUUGGUGAACAAAGUGUAGCAAAAAUGCUAAGUCAAGACUUGAAGCAGUGAUGGAGCACCUGGUGGGAAGACAGGGCCAACCCAGGGGAGCUCAGGUGCAUGCAAUGUACCUGAGUGACCAGAGGGGAUGGAGCCAGGAUCCACCCUUCCCAGACCUCAUUUAAGGGUUGGCAGUGGAGGUAAGAGUGUUUUGCUGGAAAUCUCUUUGCACCUGAGGCCUUCUGAAGGUAAGCAGCUUCUUUCCUUUGUUUCUGUGCCCACAGCUGUUGCAUUUGAGCAAAUCCUUACUUGCUGUAGCCUAGGACUUUAUUGCUCUGCUGCCAUUGCUGAGCUUUCCAUCGUGUUGCACGAAGUUAAAAGGGAUCUC
Molecule: long non-coding RNA, 2439 nt
Organism: Numida meleagris (helmeted guineafowl)
Lineage: Eukaryota; Metazoa; Chordata; Aves; Galliformes; Numididae
Source: Ensembl